AGCCUUCUGUAUCUGUGCUGAGAUUUCGUCACAUAGCAGACCACAAGGGCUGAUGAGACUUCCAAGAUAAGUGAAGCG
Molecule: non-coding RNA, 78 nt
Organism: Schistosoma margrebowiei
Lineage: Eukaryota; Metazoa; Platyhelminthes; Trematoda; Strigeidida; Schistosomatidae
Source: Rfam